RNAcentral lists this ribosomal RNA (253 nucleotides) under uncultured bacterium. RNAcentral describes it as "partial 16S ribosomal RNA". It matches the Rfam family "Bacterial small subunit ribosomal RNA", at positions 524 to 776 of the family's 1533-position model. The record is from RNAcentral.
UACAGAGGGUGCAAGCGUUAAUCGGAAUUACUGGGCGUAAAGCGUGCGCAGGCGGUCCGCGAAGUCUGAUGUGAAAGCCCCGGGCUCAACCUGGGAACUGCAUUGGAAACUAACGGGCUCGAGUGUGGCAGAGGGGGGUGGAAUUCCACGUGUAGCAGUGAAAUGCGUAGAGAUGUGGAGGAACACCGAUGGCGAAGGCAGCCCCCUGGGCUAACACUGACGCUCAGGCACGAAAGCGUGGGGAGCAAACAGG